CGGGAUAUGGCGCAGUUUGGUAGCGCACUCGCUUUGGGAGCGAGGGGUCGCAGGUUCAAAUCCUGUUAUCCCGA
This 74-nucleotide transfer RNA is filed under the name Corynebacterium jeikeium. Its description in RNAcentral is "tRNA-Pro(tgg)". It matches the Rfam family "tRNA". Rfam says of the family: Transfer RNA (tRNA) molecules are approximately 80 nucleotides in length. Lineage: Bacteria; Bacillati; Actinomycetota; Actinomycetes; Mycobacteriales; Corynebacteriaceae. The record is from RNAcentral. RNAcentral also lists the same sequence under 18 other names.